RNAcentral lists this ribosomal RNA (253 nucleotides) under uncultured bacterium. RNAcentral's name for it is "partial 16S ribosomal RNA". It matches the Rfam family "Bacterial small subunit ribosomal RNA", at positions 524 to 776 of the family's 1533-position model. The record is from RNAcentral.
UACGUAGGUGGCAAGCGUUGUCCGGAAUUAUUGGGCGUAAAGCGCGCGCAGGCGGUCUUUUAAGUCUGAUGUGAAAGCCCACGGCUCAACCGUGGAGGGUCAUUGGAAACUGGGGGACUUGAGUGCAGAAGAGGAAAGUGGAAUUCCAAGUGUAGCGGUGAAAUGCGUAGAGAUUUGGAGGAACACCAGUGGCGAAGGCGACUUUCUGGUCUGUAACUGACGCUGAGGCGCGAAAGCGUGGGGAGCAAACAGG